AUAUCCUAUCCUCCAAAGAUGGUGUGCUUAUUUGCUUCCAUGAUGUUACCCUUGAUGACACAACUGAUAUUGCAGAGCACAAGGAGUUCGCAAAUCGUAAAAGGACCUAUGAUGUGCAAGGGGUCAACACUACUGGCUUUUUCACUGUUGAUUUUACCCUUGAAGAACUUAAGACAUUGCGGGUGAAGCAGAGAUAUGCAUUCCGGGAUCAACAGUAUAAUGGAAAAUUUUCUAUUAUCACCUUUGAAGAGUUCAUAUCAAUUGCACUGGAUGCCCCAAGAGUGGUUGGAAUAUACCCUGAGAUGAAAAAUCCUGUCUUUAUUAACCAGCAUGUGAAGUGGCCAGGUGGGAAGCGAUUUGAGGACAAGUUUGUUGAGACUCUUAAGAAGUAUGGAUAUACAGGCUCAUAUAUGUCAAAAGAUUGGCUGAAACAACCUGUUUUUAUACAAUCCUUUGCUCCAACUUCACUUGUUUAUGCAUCAGAUCUGAUAGACUCACCCAAAAUCUUCUUGAUUGAUGAUGUUAC
RNAcentral lists this unclassified non-coding RNA (526 nucleotides) under Hevea brasiliensis (rubber tree). Lineage: Eukaryota; Viridiplantae; Streptophyta; Magnoliopsida; Malpighiales; Euphorbiaceae. The record is from RNAcentral.